AUCAUGAUUUACAUUUGAGUGAGUGGCGAACUGGUGAGUAACACGUGGGAAACCUGCCCAGAAGCGGGGGAUAACACCUGGAAACAGAUGCUAAUACCGCAUAACAACUUGGACCGCAUGGUCCGAGUUUGAAAGAUGGCUUCGGCUAUCACUUUUGGAUGGUCCCGCGGCGUAUUAGCUAGAUGGUGGGGUAACGGCUCACCAUGGCAAUGAUACGUAGCCGACCUGAGAGGGUAAUCGGCCACAUUGGGACUGAGACACGGCCCAAACUCCUACGGGAGGCAGCAGUAGGGAAUCUUCCACAAUGGACGAAAGUCUGAUGGAGCAACGCCGCGUGAGUGAAGAAGGGUUUCGGCUCGUAAAACUCUGUUGUUAAAGAAGAACAUAUCUGAGAGUAACUGUUCAGGUAUUGACGGUAUUUAACCAGAAAGCCACGGCUAACUACGUGCCAGCAGCCGCGGUAAUACGUAGGUGGCAAGCGUUGUCCGGAUUUAUUGGGCGUAAAGCGAGCGCAGGCGGUUUUUUAAGUCUGAUGUGAAAGCCUUCGGCUCAACCGAAGAAGUGCAUCGGAAACUGGGAAACUUGAGUGCAGAAGAGGACAGUGGAACUCCAUGUGUAGCGGUGAAAUGCGUAGAUAUAUGGAAGAACACCAGUGGCGAAGGCGGCUGUCUGGUCUGUAACUGACGCUGAGGCUCGAAAGUAUGGGUAGCAAACAGGAUUAGAUACCCUGGUAGUCCAUACCGUAAACGAUGAAUGCUAAGUGUUGGAGGGUUUCCGCCCUUCAGUGCUGCAGCUAACGCAUUAAGCAUUCCGCCUGGGGAGUACGGCCGCAAGGCUGAAACUCAAAGGAAUUGACGGGGGCCCGCACAAGCGGUGGAGCAUGUGGUUUAAUUCGAAGCUACGCGAAGAACCUUACCAGGUCUUGACAUACUAUGCAAAUCUAAGAGAUUAGACGUUCCCUUCGGGGACAUGGAUACAGGUGGUGCAUGGUUGUCGUCAGCUCGUGUCGUGAGAUGUUGGGUUAAGUCCCGCAACGAGCGCAACCCUUAUUAUCAGUUGCCAGCAUUAAGUUGGGCACUCUGGUGAGACUGCCGGUGACAAACCGGAGGAAGGUGGGGAUGACGUCAAAUCAUCAUGCCCCUUAUGACCUGGGCUACACACGUGCUACAAUGGAUGGUACAACGAGUUGCGAACUCGCGAGAGUAAGCUAAUCUCUUAAAGCCAUUCUCAGUUCGGAUUGUAGGCUGCAACUCGCCUACAUGAAGUCGGAAUCGCUAGUAAUCGCGGAUCAGCAUUCCGCGGUGAAUACGUUCCCGGGCCUUGU
RNAcentral lists this ribosomal RNA (1324 nucleotides) under synthetic construct. RNAcentral describes it as "bacterial SSU rRNA". It matches the Rfam family "Bacterial small subunit ribosomal RNA", at positions 71 to 1384 of the family's 1533-position model. RNAcentral also lists the same sequence under 1 other name. The record is from RNAcentral.